This 2034-nucleotide long non-coding RNA is filed under the name Mus musculus (house mouse). RNAcentral describes it as "long non-coding RNA chr9:101113804-101115838". Lineage: Eukaryota; Metazoa; Chordata; Mammalia; Rodentia; Muridae. The record is from RNAcentral.
UCUGCCUCCCAAGUGCUACUACUUUUUAUUACAAAGAACUUGGCUCUAAGAUUUUAUUUUCCUCCUCCCCCUCCUCUCCCUCUUUUUCCUCUUCUUCCUCCUUUUCCUCCUCUUCCUCCUCCUCCUCUUCCAUCUCCUCCUUUUUUUUUAAUUGGUGUUUCAAGACAGGGUUUUUUCAGUGUAGCCCUGGCUAUCCUGGAAGCCACUCUGUAGACCAAGCUGGGAUCAAGAUCUGCCUGCAUCUGCCUCCUGAGUGCCAACACCACCUGGCUAUUUACAUUGUCUUCUUUAAAUCUUAAAAUAGCUUGGUGUUAGAGAGGUUUCAUUGUGCAGGGGAUCCUAUAGCUUGGAAAUCUGGGAUCACACUAGUAAGCAGUGGAGCAAGAAUUUGAGCUUAGUACUGCUUAACUCCAAAUUUCAUGUGUGUGCUGUUUGUUAACUUUACCCAGGGUAGGCAUAGCACCUGUUCCCAGUAGCUGGAUGCCAGGUGUUUACAGGCACUAUCUCCGAUUCUCACAAUGCCUCUGGAAGGCAGUUACCAAGUUUUCUGAACUGAGCUGGAGGAGUCAGGUAGCCUGUGCAGCUGGUGACUGGGCCAGCUCUGAGUGGCUCCUAAGCCUCUUAACACUCUUCCUUUUUCUAAUAUGGAUCUGGCAAUUCUGCGUGACAUUUAUCCCUGACUUUUCUCUAUUUCUUCUUGAGGUGAAGGCCUAGGUUGGAACCUUUGGACUUUCAGGCACUGACCCAGCAGCUUCUGGACCAGUGUGACAGGCCGCCGUUUCCUUUGCUGACAUUCUCGUGCCUGCUGCCCAGGCUGCUUGUCUUCUCUUCCCUAGAGACCUCAACUCCCACAUGUGUCCUGCAAGCCUUAUCUCUCACCACAUGAGACGAGAGGUCUGUGACAAGCGUAUCUCAUAUGUACUGCUUGAAUUUCACUAGAGCUGGUGGCUGCAUUGCCUCUCGUGACCCUUUACCUGUGUCCCUGCCUCCUCUUCCUUUACCUGUGACCUCUGCCUGCUUUUCCCUCCUGUGUCCUUGCCUCAUCUUCAUUCCAAGCACACUGGUACUCCUCUUAGUAUGACCACAAUUUGAAAUAUUUUUUUGCUUAAUCCAAUUGUAUUUUCUCUUUAACUGAUACUAAGUUUCUCUUGUGUUACUCAAACAUAGUAGGUAUUUAGACCCGAUGUCCCCCACGCCCUUUCUUUAAGGCAGGUUAAAAAGAUGGGCUGGGAGAUAGCUCGGAGGUUAAGAAUGGUUCUUGCAUUACUUAUUAGAGGACUGGUGUUUGGAUCUCACCACCCACAUUGGGUGGUCACAUAUGCCUCUUAGUUCCAGCCUCAAGGAAUAUUCUACCACCUUCUGUUCUCUGUGGGCAUGCACGCACACAUAGAAAAUAAACUGGGCUUGGUGGUGUAUACUUUUAGUACCAGCACUUGAGAAGCAGAAAUAGGUGGAUCUUUGAGUUCAAGGUCAACCUGGUCUACAUAGCCAGUUUCAGGCAAGCCUGAACUGCCUGGCAUGGGUGCUUGGAACUGAAUGCCAGUCUUCUGCAGGAGCAGUCUGUGCUCUUAAUCACUGCAGUGGUGUUUGUUUGUUUGUUUGUUUUGUUUUGAGAGAUUUAUCUGAGUUACAACUAUUAGUAAUUUGUUCCUCUUAUUUUCCAGGAAUUAACUGAAAUCAACAAUCUGUCUAUUGUUUGUGUAUAAUUAAGAGGUGAUGGGGGGCUGGAGAGAUGGCUCAGUGGGUAAGAGCACUGACUGCUCUUCUGAAGGUCCGGUGUUCAAAUCCCAGCAAUCACAUGGUGGCUCACAACCAUCUGUAAAUGAGAUCUGACUCCCUCUUCUGGUGCAUCUGAAGACAGCUACAGUGUACUUAGAUAUAAUAAUAAAUAAAUCUUUAAAAAAAAGGUGAUGGUUUGAAAGAGAUCUGUUUUCCAUAGGUUCAUAUAUUGAAUUCUUGGACCUCACACUUCCCUGCUAUGACAGACUCUUAGAUCUCUGGAAUCAUAAGGCAAAUUAAACUCCUUUUUUCUAU